UACGUAGGCAGCGAGCGUUGUUCGGAAUUACUGGGCGUAAAGAGUGUGUAGGCGGUGCUCUAAGUUCGGUGUGAAAUCUCCUGGCUCAACUGGGAGGGUGCGCCGGAAACUGGAGUGCUUGAGCGUGGGAGAGGAAAGCGGAAUUCCUGGUGUAGCGGUGAAAUGCGUAGAUAUCAGGAGGAACACCUGCGGUGUAGACGGCUUACUGGACCAUAACUGACGCUGAGGCACGAAAGCGUGGGUAGCAAACAGG
Molecule: ribosomal RNA, 253 nt
Filed under: uncultured bacterium
Lineage: Bacteria
Description: partial 16S ribosomal RNA
Rfam family: Bacterial small subunit ribosomal RNA
Source: RNAcentral